Long non-coding RNA from Odocoileus virginianus texanus, 768 nucleotides. RefSeq lists it as uncharacterized. The record is from RefSeq and is a predicted model, not a curated record. NCBI's taxonomy places the organism in Eukaryota, Metazoa, Chordata, Mammalia, Artiodactyla, Cervidae.
GCUUCACAGCUAGCAUCUUCGAGGGUCGUGUGUGUUGUGGCCUCUGUGAGGACCCCUUCCUUCCCAAGCCUGAGCCGUGCGCGGACUGCAUUUUGUUUAUCCCCUUAUCCCUCGCGGGCACUUGGGUGGCUUCCGGCUCUGCGGCUGCUGUGAAGAGUGAGUCUAAGGAUCAGGGUGCCAUGCCAGGAGCUGCCCUGUGACCUGCGUUCACUGUGGACCCCUACCCCUGCUCAGGAGUUCCUGUUCCCAGCCCUGGGGUUUCUCUCAAAGAAAGCGAUGCCAAUCUGUUUCCUUUCUGGAAUGCCCAGGUGUCUUCCAGAAUGAUGCAACACAGAGCAGAGAAGAAAUGAUUGUGGGCUGGCAAAUUGUGAGGGCUCGGCUGGGACCACAGCACCGGGCAGUCAGCCGAGACCCUCUGUUGCCCAGCAACCUCACACUCCGAGUUGCCCCCCAUGGCCAGGACCCGCCUUUGGCCCAAGUCCAUCUGGUGCUCAGUCGCCUCACCCUUGAGAACCACUUUCAUCACAAGGACCAGGAGAGAGGGCUGGAAUGGGCUUCACCAAGGUCAAAUGCUGCCCAUGUCUGGAUCUGGAGCCUUUGGAGGACAGUGGAGGCUGGUCUGUAGGUGCAGGCGGAGCCCACACAGCUCGGAUGCUCUCCCGCCACCGGACAUGGUACCAUCGCGCUCCAGGGACGAACACAAAACCUCUGUCAUCCCGCGUCCCCUCAGCUCAUUACCAUAAACUCUAUUAAAUCCUGGCAGCACAA